CGCCCUGAAGGCGCCCGAUCUCUUCCGAUCUGGGAAGCUAAGCAGGGUCG
Molecule: ribosomal RNA, 50 nt
Organism: Prolemur simus (greater bamboo lemur)
Lineage: Eukaryota; Metazoa; Chordata; Mammalia; Primates; Lemuridae
Source: Ensembl